GACCUCGCAUCUCUGUAACCCUGU
RNAcentral lists this non-coding RNA (24 nucleotides) under Arabidopsis thaliana (thale cress). The record is from RNAcentral. Lineage: Eukaryota; Viridiplantae; Streptophyta; Magnoliopsida; Brassicales; Brassicaceae.